Molecule: ribosomal RNA, 71 nt
Filed under: Roseiarcus fermentans
Lineage: Bacteria; Pseudomonadati; Pseudomonadota; Alphaproteobacteria; Hyphomicrobiales; Roseiarcaceae
Source: RNAcentral
CUCGGCCGUCAAACGCCUUAGCGCCAAUGGUACUCUGUCUUAAGACAUGGGAGAGUAGGUCGUCGCCAGGC